This 2469-nucleotide long non-coding RNA is filed under the name Nicotiana benthamiana. RNAcentral describes it as "long non-coding RNA (NBEN_LNC040937)". The record is from RNAcentral. Lineage: Eukaryota; Viridiplantae; Streptophyta; Magnoliopsida; Solanales; Solanaceae.
AAUUCUAACUAACUUGAACGAUGAUACUACGAAUUUGAAUAGGCCACUUGCUAAAUGGAAUGGAUUACAUUACUUGAUAUUCAAGACAAUCUAAAAUCACCCAUCAUACUUAUGAUAUACAUAGUGUUUAACGAAUAACAUUAUGGUAGCAAGACAUGAAAUAUUAUGCCAGCAAUCCUUCUAAUUAAACACAAAUGAACAGCUUCACUAAAAUACUACAAAUGUCCGGUUUUACUUAGACAAGCAUCUAUAUGAUUCUAAAAGAAUAUAUGAACUAUUACAGAUAUAAUUUUAAUAUUCAAUAUGCAAACUGAGGCAAAUCUUAAAGAAACAACUUCACUUUCUUCAUUUCUAUAUUCAUGCUUUGACUUUCAGCUUAUAGGGAGUCAGUGCAUUUAAUAUGUGUACCUGGUAUUUGGAGAGCGAAGGAAGAAAGUGAAAAUCAGUAAGAAGCAAACAACAGUAGCGCACACAACAACAACAAUAUAAGCACCACAGUAGAACAACCAGUAACAGUAGGAGUAGCAGAAAACCAACAACCAACCAACAACAACACAACCAAAAUUAUACCAAAACUUCAAAUCAUCAACCAGUAUAGAUCCAAGACUGUUUUAAAAUCAAGAAGACAAAGCUGAUACCAAAAAAUACCCUUGUAAACCAACCAAUGAAACCCCAUCAAAUCAGUAAACAAAGCUGAACCAAAAAAUACCACUCAGCUACUUGAAAUCAAUGGAACAAUAGGUGCUUUCGAUUUUCUGAAGGAUUCUAUUCCUUUAGAAUAAGAAAAGGAUUCAAAUCUUUCGAAACACUUAUUUUUUAAAGGAUUCAAAGACUCUCUAUUUUCCUCCUUUAAACUCUCUGAAAACUUCCUAGAAGAAAAGCUAGUGAAGAAGUAUUUCCCUUCUCUAUUUUUUGAACCCUCUCUCCACUGAAAAAAAAACCUGCUAAAAAAUUCUCUCUUCAGUUCACUCUUAAACUCUGUUUCUGAUGCUUAAAAUUUUUUCCCUAACUCACUCUGUUUGUGUCUAUUUAAUGACAAAAAACAGUCUAUUUUUUUCAGAUUACAACCCUUUUUCAGCAUGUAUUCCAUCCCAUGUGCAUCCCCUACCCUUUUAUCAUUAAGCCCUCUUUCCUUCUCAUUUUUACAACCUUACAGGCACUAGGCAUGGUGUCAUUUGCAUUUUCUUUUCAGUUUUUUUAUUCUAAAAACUCAUGUUAUUCCCUGAAUUUCCACUCAAAAGUCCUAAAGAAGUAUAUUCCCCUGACAGCCCCAUUCGUUUAUUAUUAAAUUGUUCUCAUUUCAUUAAACUAAAGAAAUAUGGCCAGGCUGAAUCAGGCGUGUCUGACAUCCCAUAUUGUUUCCACUCAAAUGUAACUAACAUAAAUUCAAAUAACAAAUAGAAAAACGAAUUAAAUGUUUCACUGAAGCAUACGGACCACCUGACAAUCACAUGGCAUCCAUUCAAACUUAGCAGUUUAAUUUAGUGAAUUGAAUCAAUAUCAAUCAAUUAAACCUAAAUUUAUCGACAGAUGGUACAGAUUUAUACAAAACUAAUAGCCAACUCAUGCCAUUUUAAACGAUCAAACAGUUACUCGAUGAUGACUCACUUAAGCAAUUCAAACCUUUGCUAGAAUUAAACAAAUUAAGCCAAUUCAAAUACUGACAAGCUAAUCUCAUACAAACAGAAACUUGGUUCAAUUACAGAAUCAAAACAGAAAUGAAAAAGGAGAAGAAGAAACAAUGAAAUUGAAACAAAAACCAAAAUAUAAAAAUAAAGGAAAAGAGAAUUGAAAACAAUAUCAGAAACUUAUGGCGGAUCAAACACGAACUUCCUUUCGCCUAUCUUUUUUUCCGAUUUGGAUUGAAACAGAGUUUAACCGUGUGUUUUCACCAUGAAAACACAUGACUUAAAUGCAAUUCAAACCAAACGAAUCCUCAUAGACCAAGUUCGGACUUCGAAUUAAAAUUAGGGGUUGCCUAUGAUUUAGUGUUCAAAGGGUUGGGGUGGUAUUCGAAGGGAAAUGGAGGUGGGUAUGGGAUGAGGGAAGCUUAGUGGUGAUGGGGUAUGGAUGUGGGGUCAAAGGGAGUCGGCGCCGCCACUAGGGUCUUGUGGCGUCGGCUAAGGUUCUUCAUUUUAAAUCAAGAUUCGAGGCGUUUGGGCUUGAUUCGAAGUAAAGUGAGCACGGGAGUGGAAUCAGGGGGUCGUGGGGGUCCGAUGGUGUGAGUUUGGUGGUCAUUGGAGGGGUAAUGUUUUCCGACUGAUCUUCGAUCUGAUAUUUGAAGGGCCUGGUUGGGAUUUGAAGGAUUCUGUUAGGGGGUUUGGGAAUGGGAGGUUACCGUGAGUCAGUUGUGUAAAAAUGGGGGGGAUUGGCGACCAUCCGCCACCGUGGGUGAUUUCUGGCAGGCGGUGAGAGACGAGGUCGUCUCUUAUCUGUUAGAGACGAGGGAAGGUGGGGUUUGGCUUGGGG